UGACUGGGGCGGUCUCCUCCUAAAGAGUAACGGAGGAGCACGAAGGUUGGCUAAUCCUGGUCGGACAUCAGGAGGUUAGUGCAAUGGCAUAAGCCAGCUUGACUGCGAGCGUGACGGCGCGAGCAGGUGCGAAAGCAGGUCAUAGUGAUCCGGUGGUUCUGAAUGGAAGGGCCAUCGCUCAACGGAUAAAAGGUACUCCGGGGAUAACAGGCUGAUACCGCCCAAGAGUUCAUAUCGACGGCGGUGUUUGGCACCUCGAUGUCGGCUCAUCACAUCCUGGGGCUGAAGUAGGUCCCAAGGGUAUGGCUGUUCGCCAUUUAAAGUGGUACGCGAGCUGGGUUUAGAACGUCGUGAGACAGUUCGGUCCCUAUCUGCCGUGGGCGCUGGAGAACUGAGGGGGGCUGCUCCUAGUACGAGAGGACCGGAGUGGACGCAUCACUGGUGUUCGGGUUGUCAUGCCAAUGGCACUGCCCGGUAGCUAAAUGCGGAAGAGAUAAGUGCUGAAAGCAUCUAAGCACGAAACUUGCCCCGAGAUGAGUUCUCCCUGACCCUUUAAGGGUCCUGAAGGAACGUUGAAGACGACGACGUUGAUAGGCCGGGUGUGUAAGCGCAGCGAUGCGUUGAGCUAACCGGUACUAAUGAACCGUGAGGCUUAACCUUACAACGCCGAAGGUGUUU
Molecule: ribosomal RNA, 678 nt
Filed under: Escherichia coli
Lineage: Bacteria; Pseudomonadati; Pseudomonadota; Gammaproteobacteria; Enterobacterales; Enterobacteriaceae
Description: partial 23S ribosomal RNA
Rfam family: Bacterial large subunit ribosomal RNA
Source: RNAcentral